This 253-nucleotide ribosomal RNA is filed under the name uncultured bacterium. Its description in RNAcentral is "partial 16S ribosomal RNA". It matches the Rfam family "Bacterial small subunit ribosomal RNA", at positions 524 to 776 of the family's 1533-position model. The record is from RNAcentral.
UACGUAGGUGACAAGCGUUGUCCGGAUUUACUGGGCGUAAAGAGCGCGCAGGCGGUCGAUCAAGUCGAGUGUGAAAGCCCCCGGCUCAACUGGGGAGGGUCAUUCGAUACUGAUCGACUCGAAGGCAGGAGAGGGUAGUGGAAUUCCCGGUGUAGUGGUGAAAUGCGUAGAUAUCGGGAGGAACACCAGUGGCGAAGGCGGCCAUCUGGACGUCAACUGACGCUGAGACGCGAAAGCAUGGGGAGCAAACAGG